CCAGGCUGGAGUGCAGUGGCAUGAUCACAGCUCAGUGCAUCCUCAGUCUCCUGGACUCAAGCAAUCCUCCUGCCUCAGCCUCCUGAGUAGCUGGAACUACAGGUGCAUGCCACCACGCUGAGGAAGAGCAACAAUGAAGGAAAAGCAGUGACCAACCAAGACGACUGUCUAUAUAUAAGCCCUUAUUCUUGACUCCACUUCAGCAGUCCCCAAGGAGCUCUUAGGUGUCCUCAUGCUCUGGUACCCCCCGACAAAUAUUUCUAUCCUUCAGUCUAUCAUGUGUACUGUGUUAGUCUGUUCUCACAUUGCUAAUAAAGACAUACCUGAGACUGGGUAAUUUAUAAAGAAAUGAGGUUUAAUUGCCUCACAGUUCCACAUGGCUGGGAAGUACUGACAAUCAUUUUGGAAGGUGAAAUGAGAAGCAAAGUCACACCUUCUAUGGUGG
RNAcentral lists this long non-coding RNA (445 nucleotides) under Homo sapiens (human). RNAcentral describes it as "HSALNT0057239". The record is from RNAcentral. Lineage: Eukaryota; Metazoa; Chordata; Mammalia; Primates; Hominidae.